AUACGUAGGUGGCAAGCGUUGUCCGGAAUUAUUGGGCGUAAAGCGCAUGUAGGCGGUUUGGUAAGUCGGUCGUGAAAAUGCGGUGCUUAACGCCGUAUGGCGAUUGAAACUGCUGAACUUGAGUGCAGGAGAGGAAAGGGGAACUCCCAGUGUAGCGGUGAAAUGCGUAGAUAUUGGGAAGAACACCGGUGGCGAAGGCGCCUUUCUGGACUGUGUCUGACGCUCAGAUGCGAAAGCCAGGGUAGUGAACGGGAUUAGAUACCCCGGUAGUCCUGGCCGUAAACGAUGGGUACGAGGUGUGGGAGGUAUCGACUCCUUCCGUGCCGGAGUUAACGCAAUAAGUACCCCGCCUGGGGAGUACGGCCGCAAGGCUUAAACUCAAAUGAAUUGACGGGG
RNAcentral lists this ribosomal RNA (396 nucleotides) under uncultured bacterium. RNAcentral describes it as "partial 16S ribosomal RNA". It matches the Rfam family "Bacterial small subunit ribosomal RNA", at positions 523 to 918 of the family's 1533-position model. The record is from RNAcentral.